This 30-nucleotide non-coding RNA is filed under the name Homo sapiens (human). Lineage: Eukaryota; Metazoa; Chordata; Mammalia; Primates; Hominidae. The record is from RNAcentral.
UUUUAGCAUAGUGUGUCAGGUCUUCAUAGU